CUCUGCCUCUGUCUCUAUCAGUGGAGAGACCGACACUUAGAACCAAGAAGACCCUGGUUUAAAUCAGUUCACUCAAGACAUUGGCUGAUGGGCAGUGCUUCUCCCUCCAGCCCUGGCUCUUGAGGGGUCUGGCCAGCCCAAAUAGUGGCAUGUUCACACUUGGCCUGACCCACCACUUCCUGACACAUGUCCUAUUCGGCUGGGGAGCAGGGAAACAGUUGAGAAGACAUGUAUCAAGACUUGCUCAUGGAAGCAGGAAUCCAAGAUGCCCAUUACAGGGGAAUGCUCCUGACAUCUUACUUCUAGACGCCAGUGCCUUUCUCUUUCUCUUUGAGGGGUGUUUAAGCCUCGGUCCCUGACCUCAGCAUUCACAUAGCCUGCCACUGUGCCUGACCCAGCAAGAUCAGUGGUUGAAUGAAUUAAUUAAUUAAUGGUGAUAAAGUUCUAGAAGCAUUUGGAAUAAGAACUUUUUUUUUUGGAGACAGGGUCUCACUCUGUUGCCCAGGCUGGAGUACAGUGGCAUGAUCAUGGCUCACUGCAGCCUCAGCCUCCCAGGCUCAAGCCCACAUCAGCCUCCUGGGUAG
RNAcentral lists this long non-coding RNA (584 nucleotides) under Homo sapiens (human). RNAcentral describes it as "HSALNT0164191". The record is from RNAcentral. Lineage: Eukaryota; Metazoa; Chordata; Mammalia; Primates; Hominidae.